RNAcentral lists this transfer RNA (74 nucleotides) under Acidimicrobium ferrooxidans DSM 10331. RNAcentral's name for it is "tRNA-Pro (TGG) (tRNA-Pro-TGG-1-1)". It matches the Rfam family "tRNA". Rfam says of the family: Transfer RNA (tRNA) molecules are approximately 80 nucleotides in length. The record is from Rfam by way of RNAcentral. RNAcentral also lists the same sequence under 1 other name. Lineage: Bacteria; Bacillati; Actinomycetota; Acidimicrobiia; Acidimicrobiales; Acidimicrobiaceae.
CGGGAAGUGGCGCAGCUUGGUAGCGCACCUGCUUUGGGAGCAGGGGGUCGCGGGUUCAAGUCCCGCCUUCCCGA